RNAcentral lists this transfer RNA (72 nucleotides) under Sterigmatomyces sp. RNAcentral describes it as "tRNA-His". It matches the Rfam family "tRNA". Rfam says of the family: Transfer RNA (tRNA) molecules are approximately 80 nucleotides in length. Their secondary structure includes four short double-helical elements and three loops (D, anti-codon, and T loops). Lineage: Eukaryota; Fungi; Basidiomycota; Agaricostilbomycetes; Agaricostilbales; Agaricostilbaceae. The record is from RNAcentral.
GGCAGGAUUAGUUCAGUGGUAGAAUAUGCCUCUGUGGCUGGCAUCGCGCAGGUUCGAUUCCUGUAUCUUGCC